CCUACGGGGGGCAGCAGUGGGGAAUAUUGGACAAUGGGGGGAACCCUGAUCCAGCCAUGCCGCGUGUGUGAAGAAGGCCCUCGGGUUGUAAAGCACUUUCAGUGAGGAAGAACGCCUGGUGGUUAAUACCCAUCAGGAAAGACAUCACUCACAGAAGAAGCACCGGCUAACUCCGUGCCAGCAGCCGCGGUAAUACGGAGGGUGCGAGCGUUAAUCGGAAUUACUGGGCGUAAAGCGCGCGUAGGUGGCUUGAUAAGCCGGUUGUGAAAGCCCCGGGCUCAACCUGGGAACGGCAUCCGGAACUGUCAAGCUAGAGUGCAGGAGAGGAAGGUAGAGUUCCCGGUGUAGCGGUGAAAUGCGUAGAGAUCGGGAGGAAUACCAGUGGCGAAGGCGGCCUUCUGGACUGACACUGACACUGAGGUGCGAAAGCGUGGGUAGCAAACAGGAUUAGAUACCCGUGUAGUC
RNAcentral lists this ribosomal RNA (465 nucleotides) under Vreelandella stevensii. Its description in RNAcentral is "partial 16S ribosomal RNA". It matches the Rfam family "Bacterial small subunit ribosomal RNA", at positions 338 to 795 of the family's 1533-position model. Lineage: Bacteria; Pseudomonadati; Pseudomonadota; Gammaproteobacteria; Oceanospirillales; Halomonadaceae. The record is from RNAcentral.